Molecule: non-coding RNA, 72 nt
Organism: Merluccius polli (Benguela hake)
Lineage: Eukaryota; Metazoa; Chordata; Actinopteri; Gadiformes; Merlucciidae
Source: the annotation of a GenBank genome assembly
GGGGUACAACUCACUGGCAGAGCAUUUGACUUCUGAUCAAGAGGUCCCCAGUUCAAUUCCGGGCUCCCCCUA